Molecule: ribosomal RNA, 443 nt
Filed under: uncultured bacterium
Lineage: Bacteria
Description: partial 16S ribosomal RNA
Rfam family: Bacterial small subunit ribosomal RNA
Source: RNAcentral
CCUACGGGUGACAGCAGUGGGGAAUAUUGGGCAAUGGGCGCAAGCCUGACCCAGCAACGCCGCGUGAAGGAAGAAGGCUUUCGGGUUGUACACUUCUUUUCUGAGGGACGAAGAAAGUGACGGUACCUCAGGAAUAAGCCACGGCUAACUACGUGCCAGCAGCCGCGGUAAUACGUAGGUGGCAAGCGUUAGCCGGAUUUAUGUGGUGUAAAGGGCGUGUAGGCGGGAAAGCAAGGCAGAUGUGAAAACUCAGGGCUCAACCCUGAGCCUGCAUUUGAAACUGUUUUUCUUGAGUGCUGGAUGGGCAAUCGGAAUUCCGUGUGUAGCGGUGAAAUGCGUAGAUAUACGGAGGAACACCAGUGGCGAAGGCGGAUUGCUGGACAGUAACUGACGCUGAGGCGCGAAAGCGUGGGGAGCAAACAGGAUUAGAUACCCGAGUAGUC